GCUACGGGCUGCAGCAGUGGGGAAUAUUGCACAAUGGGGGAAACCCUGAUGCAGCGACGCCGCGUGAGUGAAGAAGUAUCUCGGUACGUAAAGCUCUAUCAGCAGGGAAGAAAAUGACGGUACCUGACUAAGAAGCCCCGGCUAACUACGUGCCAGCAGCCGCGGUAAUACGUAGGGGGCAAGCUUUAUCCGGAUUUACUGGGUGUAAAGGGAGCGUAGACGGCAGAACAAGUCUGGAGUGAAAUCCCGGGGCUUAACCCCGGAACUGCUUUGGAAACGGGGCGGCUGGAGUGCAGGGGGGGUAAGCGGAAUUCCUAGGGUAGCGGUGAAAGGCGUAGAUAUUAGGAGGAACACCGGUGGCGAAGGCGGCUUACUGGACUGUAACUGACGUUGAGGCUCGAAAGCGUGGGGAGCAAACAGGAUUAGAUACCCGUGUAGUC
This 440-nucleotide ribosomal RNA is filed under the name uncultured bacterium. RNAcentral describes it as "partial 16S ribosomal RNA". It matches the Rfam family "Bacterial small subunit ribosomal RNA", at positions 338 to 795 of the family's 1533-position model. The record is from RNAcentral.